GUUCCCGCCGCCGCCAUCACUGCCGCCUCCCAGGCUUCUCGCGAGAAUACUGUCUGCGUCUCGCGCGAGUUGCUCACUGGCCCUCUAACCUUCAAAUAGUGAAGAUUCUCAAUGGUGCCCUGCCCCCUUCUCUCCUGUUUCAGUUCCAGCAGGGAGCCAGAACCUGUGCCAUCAACAUCCGGCAUGAGUGAAAUGGCAGCUCGCCCUCUGUCUCCUAUUGCUGAUGACCCUGCAGCUCUACCAUCGCUCACCUCCACUCCCUCCUCCAGAACUAAGACCUCCCCCAACCCUACCACCCAGGUGGAGCAUGGUGACUACUUGCUGAGACCCCAGACUGGUUGGAACCAGAAAGUUGAUGAUUGACAUUCCUGGAACACCACUGUUACCUCACCACCACCCAAUUAGGAGAACGUGACACACCCCACAGCCAUCACCCCAGAUGUUGCCUUUAAAAACUCUUCCCUGAAAACCGUCUGGGAGUUUGGGUCUUCUGAACGCAAGCGGCCCAUUCUUGCUGGGCCCUGCAAUAAACCUUUCUCUGCUCCAAA
Aethalodelphis obliquidens (Pacific white-sided dolphin) is the source of this 548-nucleotide long non-coding RNA. RefSeq lists it as uncharacterized. Lineage: Eukaryota; Metazoa; Chordata; Mammalia; Artiodactyla; Delphinidae. The record is from RefSeq and is a predicted model, not a curated record. The transcript is spliced from 3 exons.